Molecule: non-coding RNA, 305 nt
Organism: Pelobates cultripes (western spadefoot toad)
Lineage: Eukaryota; Metazoa; Chordata; Amphibia; Anura; Pelobatidae
Source: the annotation of a GenBank genome assembly
CACUUAUGUAUUUGACUCACUUCAAACUCAAUAGAAUUACUGAAAUAUAAAUUUACUGACAGAAUGGAAAACUACACAAUAGAAUUUAUAGCAAUUGCCAUAUGAACUGCUGUGAUCAGAAUAAAAGCAUCAACUGUUACUGCCCAAACUGCAAUCUCAUGAUAAUACUUAAUGUAAACCGAUAAAUAAAUAGGGUAAAGUUGUUGUUUUUUUAAAUGUUUGAAUUUUCUUGGCCUUGGUACAAAACUUUAUGCCUCAUACCAUUUUAAAAAUUAAAAAUUGGGGGCGGGGCCUGACUAGCAUGG